UACGAAGGGAGCUAGCGUUGUUCGGAAUCACUGGGCGUAAAGCGCACGUAGGCGGAUUUGUAAGUCAGGGGUGAAAUCCCGGGGCUCAACCUCGGAACUGCCUCUGAUACUGCGAAUCUCGAGUCCGGAAGAGGUGGGUGGAAUUCCUAGUGUAGAGGUGAAAUUCGUAGAUAUUAGGAAGAACACCGGUGGCGAAGGCGGCCCACUGGUCCGGUACUGACGCUGAGGUGCGAAAGCGUGGGGAGCAAACAGGAUUAGAAACCCGUGUAGU
This 271-nucleotide ribosomal RNA is filed under the name uncultured bacterium. RNAcentral describes it as "partial 16S ribosomal RNA". It matches the Rfam family "Bacterial small subunit ribosomal RNA", at positions 524 to 794 of the family's 1533-position model. The record is from RNAcentral.